UCUCCGUAGGUGAACCUGCGGAGGGAUCAUUACAGAGUUCUCGCCCCCGCGGGUAGUUCUCCCACCCACUGUUAUCGUUACUGUGUUGCUUUGGCGGGCCGCCGGGCCCCGCUCGGCCGCCGGCUCCGGCUGGCGCGCGCCCGCCAGAGGCCCAGCAAACUCUGAAUGUUAGUGUCGUCUGAGUACUAUAUAAUAGUUAAAACUUUCAACAACGGAUCUCUUGGUUCUG
RNAcentral lists this unclassified non-coding RNA (229 nucleotides) under plant metagenome. Its description in RNAcentral is "partial contains small subunit ribosomal RNA, internal transcribed spacer 1, and 5.8S ribosomal RNA". The record is from RNAcentral.